ACUCCUACGGGAGGCAGCAGUGGGGAAUCUUAGACAAUGGGGGCAACCCUGAUCUAGCCAUGCCGCGUGUGUGAUGAAGGCCUUAGGGUCGUAAAGCACUUUCGCCGGGGAAGAUAAUGACGGUACCCGGUAAAGAAGCCCCGGCUAACUCCGUGCCAGCAGCCGCGGUAAUACGGAGGGGGCUAGCGUUGUUCGGAAUUACUGGGCGUAAAGCGCACGUAGGCGGAUCGGAAAGUUGGGGGUGAAAUCCCAGGGCUCAACCCUGGAACUGCCUUCAAAACUAUCGGUCUAGAGUUCUGGAGAGGUGAGUGGAAUUCCGAGUGUAGAGGUGAAAUUCGUAGAUAUUCGGAGGAACACCAGUGGCGAAGGCGGCUCACUGGCCAGAUACUGACGUGAGGUGCGAAA
This 405-nucleotide ribosomal RNA is filed under the name uncultured bacterium. Its description in RNAcentral is "bacterial SSU rRNA". It matches the Rfam family "Bacterial small subunit ribosomal RNA", at positions 335 to 758 of the family's 1533-position model. The record is from RNAcentral.